Molecule: small nuclear RNA, 311 nt
Filed under: Prolemur simus (greater bamboo lemur)
Lineage: Eukaryota; Metazoa; Chordata; Mammalia; Primates; Lemuridae
Description: 7SK RNA (ENSPSMG00000005675.1)
Rfam family: 7SK RNA
About the family: 7SK was discovered as an abundant small nuclear RNA in the mid-70s but a possible function has only recently been suggested.
Source: RNAcentral
GGAUGUGAGGGCGAUCUGGCUGUGACACCUGUCACCCUACUGGUUGCCAGGGUUGAUUCUGCUGAUCUGGCUGGCUAGGCCAGUAUCUUCUUCCUCCCUCACUGCUCCAUGUACGUCCCUCCUGAAGUUGUGCGCUUGGUCGAAGAGGACAAUGACCUUCUCCAACAGAGGAGGACCGUUCUCUUCAGUCAAGGGUAUACGAGUAGCUGCGCUCCCCUGCUAGAACUUCCAAACAAGCUCUCAGAGAUUUAGCACAGAAAUUCAUGAGGGCAAGGGUUAAGUGUUAUACCUCUUUAUCAGCCCCUUUAUGA